UCCGCGAAAUCUAUUUCAGUAGAGCGUAUGAUGUCGAUGGCCCGAGGUAGAGCACUCAAUGGGCUAGGGUGGCCUCAUUUCGCCUUACCAACCCCAGGGAAACUCCGAAUACAGGCCUAGAUCGUUUGUACAGACAGACUUUUUGGGUGCUAAGAUCCAAAGUCGAGAGGGAAACAGCNAGUAAAGCACUCAAUGGGCUAGGGUGGCUUCAUUUCGCCUUAUUUGAUAUUCGUAUAGGA
RNAcentral lists this non-coding RNA (239 nucleotides) under Nicotiana sylvestris (wood tobacco). Its description in RNAcentral is "Bacterial large subunit ribosomal RNA". It matches the Rfam family "Bacterial large subunit ribosomal RNA", at positions 856 to 1235 of the family's 2925-position model. Lineage: Eukaryota; Viridiplantae; Streptophyta; Magnoliopsida; Solanales; Solanaceae. The record is from Rfam by way of RNAcentral.